This 1441-nucleotide ribosomal RNA is filed under the name Salmonella enterica. RNAcentral describes it as "partial 23S ribosomal RNA". It matches the Rfam family "Bacterial large subunit ribosomal RNA", at positions 1292 to 2716 of the family's 2925-position model. Lineage: Bacteria; Pseudomonadati; Pseudomonadota; Gammaproteobacteria; Enterobacterales; Enterobacteriaceae. The record is from RNAcentral.
GAAUGCUGACAUAAGUAACGAUAAAGCGGGUGAAAAGCCCGCUCGCCGGAAGACCAAGGGUUCCUGUCCAACGUUAAUCGGGGCAGGGUGAGUCGACCCCUAAGGCGAGGCCGAAAGGCGUAGUCGAUGGGAAACGGGUUAAUAUUCCCGUACUUGGUGUUACUGCGAAGGGGGGACGGAGAAGGCUAUGUUGGCCGGGCGACGGUUGUCCCGGUUUAAGCGUGUAGGCUGACUUUCCAGGCAAAUCCGGAAAGUCAAGGCUGAGGCGUGACGACGAGGCACCACGGUGCUGAAGCAACAAAUGCCCUGCUUCCAGGAAAAGCCUCUAAGCAUCAGGUAACAUCAAAUCGUACCCCAAACCGACACAGGUGGUCAGGUAGAGAAUACCAAGGCGCUUGAGAGAACUCGGGUGAAGGAACUAGGCAAAAUGGUGCCGUAACUUCGGGAGAAGGCACGCUGACACGUAGGUGAAGUGAUUUACUCAUGGAGCUGAAGUCAGUCGAAGAUACCAGCUGGCUGCAACUGUUUAUUAAAAACACAGCACUGUGCAAACACGAAAGUGGACGUAUACGGUGUGACGCCUGCCCGGUGCCGGAAGGUUAAUUGAUGGGGUUAUCCUCGCGGAGAAGCUCCUGAUCGAAGCCCCGGUAAACGGCGGCCGUAACUAUAACGGUCCUAAGGUAGCGAAAUUCCUUGUCGGGUAAGUUCCGACCUGCACGAAUGGCGUAAUGAUGGCCAGGCUGUCUCCACCCGAGACUCAGUGAAAUUGAACUCGCUGUGAAGAUGCAGUGUACCCGCGGCAAGACGGAAAGACCCCGUGAACCUUUACUAUAGCUUGACACUGAACAUUGAGCCUUGAUGUGUAGGAUAGGUGGGAGGCUUUGAAGCGUGGACGCCAGUCUGCGUGGAGCCAACCUUGAAAUACCACCCUUUAAUGUUUGAUGUUCUAACGUGGACCCGUAAUCCGGGUUGCGGACAGUGUCUGGUGGGUAGUUUGACUGGGGCGGUCUCCUCCCAAAGAGUAACGGAGGAGCACGAAGGUUGGCUAAUCCUGGUCGGACAUCAGGAGGUUAGUGCAAUGGCAUAAGCCAGCUUGACUGCGAGCGUGACGGCGCGAGCAGGUGCGAAAGCAGGUCAUAGUGAUCCGGUGGUUCUGAAUGGAAGGGCCAUCGCUCAACGGAUAAAAGGUACUCCGGGGAUAACAGGCUGAUACCGCCCAAGAGUUCAUAUCGACGGCGGUGUUUGGCACCUCGAUGUCGGCUCAUCACAUCCUGGGGCUGAAGUAGGUCCCAAGGGUAUGGCUGUUCGCCAUUUAAAGUGGUACGCGAGCUGGGUUUAGAACGUCGUGAGACAGUUCGGUCCCUAUCUGCCGUGGGCGCUGGAGAAUUGAGGGGGGCUGCUCCUAGUACGAGAGGACCGGAGUGGACGCAUCACUGGUGUU